CCUACGGGUGGCAGCAGUGAGGAAUAUUGGUCAAUGGACGAGAGUCUGAACCAGCCAAGUAGCGUGAAGGAUGACUGCCCUAUGGGUUGUAAACUUCUUUUAUAUGGGAAUAAAAUGUUCCACGUGUGGGAUUUUGUAUGUACCAUUUGAAUACGGAUCGGCUAACUCCGUGCCAGCAGCCGCGGUCAUACGGAGGAUCCGAGCGUUAUCCGGAUUUAUUGGGUUUAAAGGGAGCGUAGGUGGAUUGUUAAGUCAGUUGUGAAAGUUUGCGGAUCAACCGUAAAAUUGCAGUUGAAACUGGCAGUCUGGAGUACAGUAGAGGUGGGCGGAAUUCGUGGUGUAGCGGUGAAAUGCUUAGAUAUCACGAAGAACUCCGAUUGCGAAGGCAGCUCACUGGACUGCAACUGACACUGAGGCUCGAAAGUGUGGGUAUCAAACAGGAUUAGAUACCCGAGUAGUC
RNAcentral lists this ribosomal RNA (460 nucleotides) under uncultured bacterium. Its description in RNAcentral is "partial 16S ribosomal RNA". It matches the Rfam family "Bacterial small subunit ribosomal RNA", at positions 338 to 795 of the family's 1533-position model. The record is from RNAcentral.